This 434-nucleotide ribosomal RNA is filed under the name uncultured bacterium. RNAcentral's name for it is "partial 16S ribosomal RNA". It matches the Rfam family "Bacterial small subunit ribosomal RNA", at positions 29 to 507 of the family's 1533-position model. The record is from RNAcentral.
AGCGAACGCUGGCGGCAGGCCUAACGCAUGCAAGUCGAACGAACCUUUCGGGGUUUGUGGCGGACGGGUGAGUAACCCGUGGGAACGUUCCUUUAGGUUCGGAAUACCUCAGGGAAACUUGUGCUAAUACCGAAUGUGCCCUUCGGCGGAAUGAUUUAUCGCCCUUAGAGCGGCCGGCGUCUGAUUCGCUAGUUGGUUGAGGUAAUGGUUCACCAACGCGACGAUCAGUAGAUGGUCUGAGAGAAAGAUCAGAGACAUUGGGACGGAGACACGGCACAAAAUCUUACGGGAGGCAGCAGUGGGGAAUCGAGCGAAAUGGGCGAAAGGAUGAAGGAGCCAGGAUGGGAGAAUGAUGAAGGUCUUAGGAUUGUAAAAUGCUUUCAACGGGGACGAUAAUGACGGUACCCGGAGAAGAAGCCCCGGCUAACUUCGUG